AAUGGUAAAUUAUAGAUUUUGGUUCGUUUACGACUUCAAUUAGACAUCGGAUAAUGGGAUGAUUUUUUUGGGUGAAAUUUGGUGGUAUUGUUUAUAGCUUUAAGUUUUUUGCUGGCAAAUAUUUUCACUUGGGGUGUGCACGGUUUGGUUUGGUUUGGUUUAUUAUGAUCCGUUUCCCUUUUCAUUUGGUACAAGUGGUUUACUGAAAUACUCAAAAUCAUCUCAGGAAACACUUCAACAUCUUAGGAAAGUGAGGUUAAAUGGAGAUGGUUAGGUUUGGGGCUUGGACGAGUUCCGAUGAUAAUUGUACAAAAAGUGGUGGUAUCAAUCUAUGAAGUAAAGGAUGUCGGCUCCAACCGUGUAUUCUCCACCAGCUCCUCCUCCCCUACAAAAGGUAUACAUAUGUAAUCUCUCCAUCUUUGCAAUCUCUCCAUUAUCAUCUUCGCUAUUUCUUUCCUUCAGAUAAUGGAUUGUUGUUCAAAUCGAUUGUAAAAAAGGUAUGAUUUUCAUUCUCAUCCCAAGCCAUACAUAGAGAAUCAUCAAAGCAUCAAUCAAUUCGAGGGUCUUGGUUAUGCUCUGUAAUAGGUGAUGGCAUAUUAGGUGAUGAAAGUUCAGAUGUCUUUGCUGCGAACUCAAAUCGACAGGAUCUAUUUAUUAAUUCUAUAUUGAAUGAUGUUUCGUAAAUAAGUUAAGGAUAAAUUAAUGCUUUUUUUAUCAAACUUGCUGGUAUGCUUUUUAUCGAACUUGCAACUACAUGUUAGAAUCUGUUAAAUUUCAUGAUGUGGUUAAGCUGGAAAUUUUGACCCGUUUACUUAUAAAUGGGUUGCCAUUUUCCUAACAAGUCAAAUGGUACAAAUAUAAUAUUUACAUAAAAAGCGAAACGGGUCGAGUGGGUUAAGAUUAGAAGUCACCUAAAGUCAGGGGCGGAACCAAUUAAGAGUGAGCCGUAGCACGGGCUACGACUCAACCCCGUAUUCGCAGUGUUUUUUUUUCGGUUUUAUACAUAGCAUACCCCAAAACAUAUACGAGGAUACCCCUAAGAGAAAAUUAUGAAACUUGAUAUUAUUCAUUAAGCCCAAAACUUGUAAGGUACAAAGCCCAGAUAAUUAGGUUUAUGAUAAUUAAGCCCAAAUUGUAAUAACUAAUAAAGCCCAAAUAAUAAAGUAAGUAAUCUUGCACGUCUUAUGGUUGAAAUGGGAACACAUAGUUCUUGUCCUUUGGUUUAUCGGGUAAUGAAGCUAGCUUUGGUUUUACCGGUUGCAACCACAACCGUUGAAAGAUGUUUUUUUCGAAGUUGAAGCUUGUCAAGACGGAUUUACGCAGUUGAAUGGGCCCAUAAUUUUUGAACAAUGCCAUGUUUGUGCGGUCGAAAAAUAUUUUUUUUUCAUAAAGUAAAAGAUGACGAUGUGAUGGAACGAUUUCAAGCUAUGAAAAAAAAGAGGACAAAUCUAUUAUGUUUUUGUUUUACUUUAUUUAUUUAUUUUUGUUUUUUUAAUAUUGUAUAAUUGCAUGGUAAAAUUUUUUUUGGGAUACCCCUGAUUUAAUGGGCUAGUUCCGCCAUUGCCUAAAGCAGUGGAUUUUAAUGCUUACAGCCUCUUAAAUUAUAUUUAGAGUGAAUUUCAAGGAUUGUCCUUUAUCUUUAUACCCAUUUUCAGGCGCUGUCCUUUAUGUUUAAAUUGACGAGUUUUGUACUUUACGUUUUCAAAUCAUACACGUUUUGUCCUUUAGGCCUAAGCCAGUUACUUUUUUCAGUUAAAUUAAGUAACACAAGGGUAUUUUAGUCUUUUAACCAACUUAUUUUAAAAUCCUUAUCUUUAUAAAUAAAAGUCAUUUAUACAUUUUAAUUUAACUCCCAUCCAAUGUUUUCGUUUCCAUUCCGUCAUUAUUCACUUCCUACUUCCAAUUGCUCUAUCAAAAACCCUAAAGCCAUUGAGAUGCACAACUGACGGCAACCGAUUGAUAUUGUUUUGAUUAUCUACAAUCCAAUCUUUUUCAAAUCAGUUGAGAAAUUAGGUGAUCUUUUUUAUGGUGGUCUUCUUUGUAAAGAAAACAGGAGGCAAGCGAUUGAUGAACCGAUCGUGAAUCACUGCUUGUCGAUUGAAGAACGGAUGAUGUGUAUCACUGCUUGUCGAUCGUGAAAACAGGAGGCGAGCGACUGAUGAAUUGGGGUAUAAAAGCCAUUAAAAUGGGUGAAGAACUCACUGAUUAUGCUACAAUCAAUGGCCACCCCCACCUCCGACAAACUGGAAGGGUUUCAACCAAACAAAAAUCGCUUCUGAAACUCUCUUCAACCAAACCCCCACCUCCGGCGAACUAGAAGGAUUUCAGAUCGUCGUUUUGGUUUGAGAAUAAGAUUUCAUGGGUUGUCAGAGUUUGAGGGGAAGAAGAGGAGUUGCCGGCGGCGACUUUCCAACCACAAUGCCCACUGCCGUAAGCCGUAGCAAGAAACGAUCCCCUACAACCCGAGCAUUCCGUCUUCGUCAUUUUACGAUGGGCAAGAACAAUUAUGGUUUGUGUUUAACAAUGUUCCUUUGAAUUCUGUUUGGGAAACCACAUGCAACCCACAACAAACAACACCCUUAGUAAAAGCUGAAAAACCUGAAGCUUUUCAUUUUCCAGAUGCUUUUACUUUCAAUAGGAUUACGCCGCAUAAGGCCACCGCAGCCGGCGCUUUUCAUCAAGGUACGGAUGCAGAAGCACUUGAUUUUACUAAAAGUGGUGCUUCCUAAUUUCCUUUUAUUUCAUUUUUAUUGCAUCUUCUCAAUAUGUAUCAUAUCAUAUAAGGUUGUUCAUGUAUUAUAUAUAAUUAAUAGUAUGGUGCACAUGAUAAUGUAUUUAUAGCUUAUCGUUUUUUGAAGCACAUGUUGUUUAAUGUUUAGCUUCUUUUGACAUAUUAUGGGGUGUGGCAACCUCUAUUGCGACUAUGGUGGACUUUCGUUUGACUCUAUGACUCCGAGAUCUUAUUCUGUACCCCCAUCCCCACCCUACUAUCGGUGGUGUGGCAAGUUAAGACCUGAAACAAGUAACAAUUGCAACUAAAGGAUAUUGUACUUGGGCUUUUUCAAGUAUAUUCAUAAUGUUUAGUACAAGCUGCAACUUUAUUUUUU
Helianthus annuus (common sunflower) is the source of this 3107-nucleotide long non-coding RNA. RefSeq lists it as uncharacterized. The record is from RefSeq and is a predicted model, not a curated record. NCBI's taxonomy places the organism in Eukaryota, Viridiplantae, Streptophyta, Magnoliopsida, Asterales, Asteraceae. The transcript is spliced from 6 exons.